AUCAGCCACCAGCACCCUCGCCGAGACCACCCCCCCCGGGUCCACCUUAUCAGCCUCCAGCACCCUCACCUAGACCACCCACCCAGCGUCCAUCCCCUCGGCCUCCUCCUGCAUACCAGCCCCCACCACCACCUGUGGCCAGACCACCAACACCAUUCCCUUUCCCGGCACCUCCUCAACGACCACCGUCUCUCACCGGGCAGCCACCACAAGUUACUCCAGCACGACCACCACCCUCGUUUCCUCCUCCUCCUCCUCCCGUGGCUAGACCUCCGUAAGCAAUCAGAAUACACUACCCCCUUCUUCACUGUUCACCAGUUCGCGUAACACGUCAUGUAUUAAGCAGAAAUAAUCCUUCCAUACAGGCCACCCCCACCUCCUCCAUCCAGGCCCCCUCCCGGUCCGCCAUACCAGCCACCAGCACCUGUGCCUAGACCUCCACCCCAACGUCCUUCCCUUCGGCCACCACCUGCAUACCAGCCACCAGGACUACCUGUGCCGAGACCACCGCCUCCUCCAGGGCCUACGCCUUUCCCAAGGCCACC
Rhipicephalus microplus (southern cattle tick) is the source of this 545-nucleotide long non-coding RNA. NCBI's taxonomy places the organism in Eukaryota, Metazoa, Arthropoda, Arachnida, Ixodida, Ixodidae. The record is from RefSeq and is a predicted model, not a curated record.